CUUCUAUACUUGUCAAGACAGAUUAUCUUUAUAUGAUGUGCUGCACAAUUGAAAGUAGAAAAUCACCCCAAAAAUAGGCUAUGCCUUCAAAAUUCAAAUUAGGUCUCCAUAGAAAAUACUAGACAAGUCUCCAAUUUCAUGAUACCAAACUAAAUCCAGCAACAAAAUUCAGCAUACUACAUAUUUUAGUCUAAAAAACAUUUCCUCUAAGCCUGUUGUAUGUUUGAUGACUCACCACCAAAAAUCAGCUUAAAGGCUGCUGCUAUUGGUUUCCGUACCCAUUUGUAGAUGUCCCAUAAGCUGCAGCUGUAGCAGCAGCAGCAUACAUGUUUGGAUCCUGAUUCUGCGGAGCAUUUUAUCCAUACCCAUUGUAACCUUGCUUCCCGUAAAAAUUUCCAUUCCAUUGAUUACU
Molecule: long non-coding RNA, 412 nt
Filed under: Panax ginseng (ginseng)
Lineage: Eukaryota; Viridiplantae; Streptophyta; Magnoliopsida; Apiales; Araliaceae
Description: long non-coding RNA (PGIN_LNC006742)
Source: RNAcentral